GACGAACGCUGGCGGCGUGCCUAAUACAUGCAAGUCGAACGAGAGCAACCGGUGCUUGCACUGGUCAAUCUAGUGGCGAACGGGUGAGUAACACGUGGGUAACCUGCCCAUCAGAGGGGGAUAACAUCCGGAAACGGAUGCUAAAACCGCAUAGGUCUUCGAACCGCAUGGUUUGAAGAGGAAAAGAGGCGCAAGCUUCUGCUGAUGGAUGGACCCGCGGUGCAUUAGCUAGUUGGUGAGGUAACGGCUCACCAAGGCCGUGAUGCAUAGCCGACCUGAGAGGGUGAUCGGCCACAUUGGGACUGAGACACGGCCCAAACUCCUACGGGAGGCAGCAGUAGGGAAUCUUCCGCAAUGGGCGAAAGUCUGACGGAGCAACGCCGCGUGAGUGAAGAAGGUUUUCGGAUCGUAAAACUCUGUUGUUAGAGAAGAACAAGUGCUAGAGUAACUGUUAGCGCCUUGACGGUAUCUAACCAGAAAGCCACGGCUAACUACGUG
RNAcentral lists this ribosomal RNA (498 nucleotides) under uncultured bacterium. RNAcentral's name for it is "partial 16S ribosomal RNA". It matches the Rfam family "Bacterial small subunit ribosomal RNA", at positions 28 to 507 of the family's 1533-position model. The record is from RNAcentral.